AGCCUGAACGCUGGCGGCGUGGCUAAGACAUGCAAGUCGCACGGAUGUAGCAAUACAUUAGUGGCGAACGGGUGAGUAAUGAAUCGCUAACGUACCCUGGACUUUGGGAUAGCUGACCGAAAGGUCAGGUAAUACCAGAUGACAUAACUUUGUCGCAUGACAGAGUUCUCAAAGGUCCGCC
Molecule: ribosomal RNA, 181 nt
Filed under: uncultured bacterium
Lineage: Bacteria
Description: partial small subunit ribosomal RNA
Rfam family: Bacterial small subunit ribosomal RNA
Source: RNAcentral